Long non-coding RNA from Canis lupus familiaris (dog), 1391 nucleotides. RefSeq lists it as uncharacterized. The transcript has 3 exons. Lineage: Eukaryota; Metazoa; Chordata; Mammalia; Carnivora; Canidae. The record is from RefSeq and is a predicted model, not a curated record.
GGAGCAUCAGGUUUCGUCUUUGGGAGAGCACUUUGGUUUGAAGCUGACACUGUGGGGAACAUGGGGAAUCGAGUGAGGAGCUGACGCUGGGCCUAGGAGGGCCCUUUCUCCAGCAAGAUGUUCCCUCAGCAGGGCCACCAGAUGCAGCUGCUUUGGAGAGAAAGGGAAAGGAGACAGAGAACAAGCCUCUGGGCCCAGACGUGACGGGUUGUAGGCCUCCCUGCUCUACCUCAUGAACUGCAUCUUCCUUCUUCUUGAUCUCUCUUCUGCUUUCGGGGACACAGCCAGGACACACCGAGUCCUAAAGUCAACAUUUCUUCAUUCGGUUCAUGUUUAGAGAGGGAGUAGCCAACACGCACCAUCCACCGUUCAAGGGGCUGGAGCCCAGGAGGUGAAUGAAUCCCAUGAGGGAAUGAAUCCUGCUCUCGUGGGACUUAGAGCACAUUCUGGGAACUGAGAAGCAAAACAAUUGUAAUAAUUCUGCACACUGGGAAGCGCUGUAGACAAAGUAAAUGAGGGUGAUAGGACAGGUUUGGAGGAGGCAGUGUCUGAGCUGGUGGUCUGGAAAGGCCCCUCUGAGAAGACUACGGCUGAGUCAACAUCUGGAGACAAGAGACUCCAGUAUGUGAAGACCGGAGGCAAGGCCCUGCUGGGCAGAGGGGACCAGUGUGGUGGCUCUGAGGGAAUUUAGAUAAUUUCAUAAGAUCACACAAAACUGCUACAAAUGCUAUUGCUGCCAAGGGGGCUUCCUCCUGUGGUAGACAUGGCUUGAAAGCUCAUAGUGGAACAAGGAAUCAUUCAAUAUCCCCUCAGGACCUCUGUGUCGGGAAAGAAGAGGUCCUCCCAAAGCCUUCCAGCUUGGUGCUGCACAAUUCCAAGAGGCCUAAUGCGUGGCAUUUCCUAGUGAUAUCUGUCACUGGACAAGGACAAAGCUCAAGCCAAGGAAUGAACCUGAAAUGGUGGGAUUUUCAUCAUCAAUGAAGCAGAAAAGAGAUGUCUGAGGAGAAUGGAAGGAACCGUCCCCGGGGCCCUGCAAUGAAGUAGGCAGCUACUGCUCCCAAUGGUCUAGACAUCUCUUCUUGCUCCCAGUGUAACCUUACAGGCCAUUAAAGUUGAUCUGAGGUCACUUAAAAAAAAGCCAAUUGACAUUGUGUUGAGAGACAGCAUGUGUCAGCCAUUUGCUCCGAGUUGCCCUCUCCGCAGACCUACAGCUUUUCCCCUCGACUGAGGUUAACUUUCCCAUAUAGAGAUUUUAUAUAAGGCAGUCAUUCGUGCUCAUUAUGCUUGUAGGAUUUUUCUACUUCUCAAGUAAAUAUUUUUGGUGAAAUAGGUCCAGCUCUUUGGAAUACAAAUCCUUAGCUCGAGGUUGCUUGAGUGGAAAUUUUUAACAA